Long non-coding RNA from Hemicordylus capensis (graceful crag lizard), 5017 nucleotides. RefSeq lists it as uncharacterized. The record is from RefSeq and is a predicted model, not a curated record. Lineage: Eukaryota; Metazoa; Chordata; Lepidosauria; Squamata; Cordylidae. The transcript is spliced from 8 exons.
GGCGGGGCUUCCACGGAGGCCUCGUGUAGGCCUCUGUGAAGCCUGAACUCGAGUAGGGCCCAAGCCAGCCAGGAAGGAGGAGGCAGCCAGAGUGGCCACCACUGUUCUCUGAAGCAGAAGACCCCUUGCUGCCAGGCCAAUUAUGAACUUUCCUGGCCUCCUUUGAUUGAUGUUCUGUCUGUGAACUAUAUAUCCUCCUACUGAUUCUUCAUGUCAGCUGGAAUGCUUUGCGCUAUCAGUCCAAGAUUUGAGGUGCCUUUCAUCAACAUUUCUAUGCUGCUGCUAUACCACAUGGACCGUCAGUGAUGGAUGGGGAAACAGGGGACCAGAAAAGCCUUAGCACUGAAUAAUGGAACUCCUGUAUUGUGCAAAGAAAGAAAGAAAGAAAGAAAGAAAGAAAGAAAGAAAGAAAGAAAGAAAGAAAGAAAGAAAGGAGAAAUUAUAAUGAUGUGAUAGAUACCCCACCAGCCACAAUGCAGUUCUUGUUGUAAAUGUAACGUAAGGAAAACAGAACUGUCUGAGGGGGAGAAAAUUCUAACCACCACAGUGGAAUGAGAAGUUGACAAGUCGAGGAAUUACACAAGGCAAGUCAUUUCAUCCCAGCAAUAAAUGGAAAAGAUUCAAGCCUGGACAAAAUGAUAUCCAAUAUUCCAUCUCUCGGUCGAUGGUACGGACGUGCAAAGAGUGCAGCUACAUAUGGCGCCCUCUUCUUCACGGCGACCCCUUGCUGAGGGAAAGGAAUACUCAUUCUGGGAAGGCAGCAAUGAAGGAAUAAAAGUAGAAGACAUGCUUUGCAGUUUUGGGCAAGAAGAGUCAGACUGAUAUGCGAUGCCCUAUGCAAUAUGAGGAAGCAUCCCUUGGUGCAAGUUGCCUCACACCUAGCAGAGAUGAAUAAAUCAAGUCUCCAUAAAACCUCCUGUGUGCCAUCUCAAGAGUGCUACAGGGCUCCAUCAUGUCCAGGGACAUCAAAGAGUACUUCUGGAAAACUGCCCCUGCUGCACAAGAACACUCAUGCUUUGAAAGCUGGUCUUAUGGUAAAGUAAAAGGAUCCCCCUUGGGACAAAUGUCCAAACAAACAACCUGCAAAAGAUAACUGGAUAGGAUACAACAAAAUGGCACUAGUACUGCCCUGCACCUGAGAGGAGGAUGCCUACCUAUUCUUCUAGGUGUGGAUGAAGAAAAUGCAUAUAUAUCUUCUUGAGUGUAAGAGUGCGAUGUGCCUCCAUUUUCAGUCUAGUGAAAAAUAUCUUCCCAGAUACCCAAAGAUUGGGAAGCAUUGGGAUCUGUGCUAAAAAGAAAGAAAAAAAAUGUAUACAUCAGAGAGAGAGAGAGAGAGAGAGAGAGAGAGAGAGAGAGAGAGAGAUGAGUUGCAUGAGUUGUGAAUUGUAAAAAAUACAACCCCAAGCCUCCAACAUUCAUCUUCUGAGCUUGAAAACUAAUUUGGGCAAAGCAGUUUCUUUUCCUUUGGCCUCCAUGAACAUUGUUUAAAAUACAGUUUUAUGACUUCUGCGAUCAGAUUACUGUAUAUUAUCUAGGAGUGCAAAAUGAGAUCUGUCUGGGCAGUCAGUGAGAUGUCAUUCAUUACUGUUUCACCUCAGGGACUUGGAUAUUCAAUCUGAAAAAAUAAACUUUCUAUGUAUAUUCUACCUAUAUGACAAGCUCUGCUGUUAUAACUUCCUUUCUGAUAUACAGCUUCUGUCUCCCGCUUGCAGCUAUAUGAAACCCUACCAGUCUUUCUUUAGCUAAAACUUCCUUCUAAAAACCCCAAAGAAUACACUGCUCCGUGGAUUUCUGCUUCUUUUUUCUUGUUUGAAACAAACAAACAACCAGGCUUCUACAAACAAUGUUUUUCACUAGAAAUUGAUAAGGUCAGCAAUAGCCACUAAUGUUGCUGCUGGACCAAUACUCAAAACAUCUAUGCUUUUUAUGCAGUAAGGAAGAGGAGGGGGUGGAGUCAGCAGUGGCCUUUCACGUGGCAUCCUAUCACUCCUAUAUCAGUGCUGUGCCUAGGAGUGCUAGCACAGUCUCAAGAUUUAACUUAUUUCCAUUUCCUAUGGAGAAGCUGGGAAAUGCUUGACUAACAAGCAGAAGGUUGAUGGUUCGAAUCCCCACUGGUACUAUAUCGGGAGCUGCAGUGAUAUAGGAAGAUGCUGAAACGCAUCAUCUCAUACUGCGCGGGAGGAGGCAAUGGUAAACCCUUCCUGUAUUCUACCAAAGAACACCACAGGGCUCUGUGGGCUCCAGGAAUCCAAAUCGACUUGAUGGCACACUUUACUUUAUGAAGAAGGAACUGCAGAGCCAUCUAUGGGGAUAGGCAGACAAAAAGUGAAAUAUUUGUUGGUUUGUUUCUCAGAUUUUUAUACUGCCACAAACUUCUGUCUCUGGGGAGCUUACAACAACAUAAAACAGAUUAAAAAUAAAAAUCUUAAAGCAACUUAAAACCACAAUCGGGUUAAAAAUCUUGAGUGGUGGAAAAAAAGUCUUUAGAGACUUUUAAAAAGUUGUCAGAGAUGGAGAGGCUCUUCUUUCAGCUGGGAGCGCAUUCCAGAGACUUGGGGCAGCAACAGAGAAGGCCUGUCCCUGCAUUGCCACCAGACGAGCUGGUGGCAACUGUAGACGAACCUCUCCAGAUGAUCUCAAUGGGUAGUGGGGAUCAUAGUGACGAAGACAUCCUCUUAAAUACCCAGGGCCUAAGCUGUUAAGGCAUAGGUAUAAUAUAUACUUAAGCUGAUUUACUAGUUAUUUUUCUUCCUGGAAAGCUCUGCAACCUGUGAUUCUAAUUUUGCAAAGCUGUACUAAAGGUAAAGUGUGCCGUCGAGUCAGUUUCGACUCCUAGCAACUACAGAGCCCUGUGGUUGUCUUUGGUAGAAUACAGGAGUUUACAGGGGUUUACCACGCAGUAUGAGAUGAUGCCUUUCAGCAUCUUCCUAUAUCGCUGCUGCCCAAUAUAGGUGUUUCUCAUAGUCUGGGAAACAUAGUCUGGGAAACAUACCAGUGGGAAUUCGAACCGGCAACCUCUGGCUUGAUAAUGAAAUCAUUUCCCCACUGAGCCAUUAGGUGGCUGUACUAGGGACCUCUAAUAAAGAUUUCUUAGCACUUUCCCCAAACUACAAUUCCCAUGAUUCUUUGUGGGAGAAACCAUGACUGUAAAACUAGUAUAAAACCGACACAUGAUUGAUAAUAGUCCUAUUCAAGCCCUAUUCAGACAUUAUGUUGUAUGUGCGUAUAGUUGUCUGUACACAUAUGCAUAUUUUUGUUUGAAUGACCAUCCAUCCAUCCGCUUUAAAAGUGAACCUACCGAUAGGGAAUGCAUUAUUGCAUAUGUGCUGAAUAUAACAUAUGAAUAACUACAUGCAUACAGAACUGAACAUAUAUUACGUGCACAUAGACUACAUGUGCAUCAAACAAAAGGCAUGAAUAGGGCUUUGGGCGUUGGUUAAAGCAUGGACACUGUGCUCAGGUACAUCAUCCAUGAGCGUGUGCUGGAAACCCCACCUCCAUGCCAAUGGGCUUUCUAGCUCCAUCCCCUGCUGCACUCAUUGACAGUGUGGGGACAGGGCUAUGGAGCCCAUAGGUAUGGGGCAGGAUUGCUGAGGUGCUUGUGUGCAGGAGUGGAGCCACCAUUGGGAGAACAGGUUCAAAGAACCCAGGCCGCUGCUCCUCAGGGGCCGCGCCUUGUGGCCGCAGACACCCCCCUCCCGCGUCUGACAUCAGAUGCGGUGUGUGUGUGUGUGUGUGUGUGUGUGUGUGAUUUUGCUCCCCAAAAGGCAGAGAGAGCCGUUCCUGGCCACAGUGCAAAUGCAGCGCAGGCCAAUUUCAUCCUGGAGUGGCUCUCCCUGCCUUUGGCAGGGAGAGUUCCUCCAGUGAAUGCAGCGCUGGAUGACUGAGCUCCUAAAUGGGGCCGCGUGGGAUUCAAACCACGCGGGAUUGAAUGAGAUUCAAACCACGCCCCCACAUUUGACAUCAGAUGCGGGGGGCAUGGCUAACCGCUCCCUGCGUCUGACGUCAGAUGCAGGGGCAGGGCUGGGGGGGGGGCUCGGCAGAGGAAGCACCCGGGCUGCCACUGGCCUCCCUCCUCCACGCCUGCUUGUGUGGAUGGUUUACCUGGGUACAGAGUCUAUGCUUUCCCAAAUACCUGACUACGACUAUGCUUAUACACAUGACCACUAUACCUUGCUGCUGCAGCACAAUGCCAGUCUCUAGGAUCUGACUGUGUUAAGCUCACAAAGACAGGACUAGGCCACAACUGUGGACAACCACACUUAGCUCUUGCAGAAGCAUUUUUCAGCUAAGGGCCCCUGAGGCCCGCGGCUUGCUCUGGCAGCUGGAGCAAAGAGAAUAUACUUUGCUAUUGACAAGGAAGAACAGAAGGCCAACCUCCUGCUUAAAAUGAGGCCUGGCCAACCCAGAGGCCUCGUAUGACUUGCCAAUCUCAGGGGCUGAUGUGGCACACUUCCAUUUCCUUCUGUGCCUGAAGAGGGCUUUGAAACUUGAGCAUACACAAGGGCAGUUCACAUGGUGGUUAACUGGGUAGGACAAGCACCCUACCCAUCUCUGAGAGCUGUGCAUGCUCCUGAUCUUUGAUUGUGUGCAAGCAAAAACCUAGGUAGGAGGGGUGGCGAGUGAUCAUCUGUGGGCGAGGAGCUGGGAAGGAUGGCGCUGUCCUCCCCAGCACCUGAGGUCGGAGGAAAAACUGUCGUACCCAACUCCUCUCUUGCAGACAAUCACUCCCUCCUGCUAGGUUUUUGUUAGCAAACAAUCAAAAACCAGGAGUGCAGACAGUUCUCUCAGCUGGGUAGGAUGCCGAUCAUGUGAACCCAAUUGAGAUCAUGUGAUCUCAAUCACAUUUUUUAGAAAGCUUGUGAAAUGUUGGCUUUUUACCCAGACUUUUAUAUGACUGCUCCUAUUGCGGCUGCUUUGCAUCUUGUUGUUGUUGUUGUUGUUAUAUUGUGCUUGUUUUUUAAUCUUUUCAACAGAUCUGUAUUUUUAUAUUCUAGUUGAUAUUUUAAUUGUGUAA